This 465-nucleotide ribosomal RNA is filed under the name uncultured Klebsiella sp. Its description in RNAcentral is "bacterial SSU rRNA". It matches the Rfam family "Bacterial small subunit ribosomal RNA", at positions 338 to 795 of the family's 1533-position model. The record is from RNAcentral. Lineage: Bacteria; Pseudomonadati; Pseudomonadota; Gammaproteobacteria; Enterobacterales; Enterobacteriaceae.
CCUACGGGUGGCUGCAGUGGGGAAUAUUGCACAAUGGGCGCAAGCCUGAUGCAGCCAUGCCGCGUGUGUGAAGAAGGCCUUCGGGUUGUAAAGCACUUUCAGCGGGGAGGAAGGCGGUGAGGUUAAUAACCUCAUCGAUUGACGUUACCCGCAGAAGAAGCACCGGCUAACUCCGUGCCAGCAGCCGCGGUAAUACGGAGGGUGCAAGCGUUAAUCGGAAUUACUGGGCGUAAAGCGCACGCAGGCGGUCUGUCAAGUCGGACGUGAAAUCCCCGGGCUCAACCUGGGAACUGCAUUCGAAACUGGCAGGCUAGAGUCUUGUAGAGGGGGGUAGAAUUCCAGGUGUAGCGGUGAAAUGCGUAGAGAUCUGGAGGAAUACCGGUGGCGAAGGCGGCCCCCUGGACAAAGACUGACGCUCAGGUGCGAAAGCGUGGGGAGCAAACAGGGUUAGAUACCCUGGUAGUC